This 460-nucleotide ribosomal RNA is filed under the name uncultured bacterium. Its description in RNAcentral is "partial 16S ribosomal RNA". It matches the Rfam family "Bacterial small subunit ribosomal RNA", at positions 338 to 795 of the family's 1533-position model. The record is from RNAcentral.
CCUACGGGAGGCAGCAGUGAGGAAUAUUGGUCAAUGGACGAGAGUCUGAACCAGCCACGUAGCGUGAAGGAUGACUGCCCUAUGGGUUGUAAACUUCUUUUAUAAAGGAAUAAAACGAGGCACGUGUGCCUUUUUGCAUGUACUUUAUGAAUAAGGAUCGGCUAACUCCGUGCCAGCAGCCGCGGUAAUACGGAGGAUCCGAGCGUUAUCCGGAUUUAUUGGGUGUAAAGGGAGCGUAGAUGGGUUGGUAAGUCAGUUGUGAAAGUUUGCGGCUCAACCGUAAAAUUGCAAUUGAUACUGGCAGUCUUGAGUACAGUAGAGGUAGGCGGAAUUCGUGGUGUAGCGGUGAAAUGCUUAGAUAUCACGAAGAACCCCGAUUGCGAAGGCAGCCUACUAGACUGUGACUGACAUUGAGGCUCGAAAGUGUGGGUAUCAAACAGGAUUAGAUACCCCAGUAGUC